CCUACGGGUGGCAGCAGUAAGGAAUAUUGGUCAAUGGGCGCAAGCCUGAACCAGCCAUGCCGCGUGCAGGAAGACGGCCUACGGGUUGAAAACUGCUUUUGUACCGGAAUAUGUACGGGAAGAAUAAGGAUCGGCUAACUCCGUGCCAGCAGCCGCGGUAAUACGGAGGAUCCAAGCGUUAUCCGGAUUUAUUGGGUUUAAAGGGUGCGUAGGCGGCCUAUUAAGUCAGGGGUGAAAGACGGUAGCUUAACUAUCGCAGUGCCUUUGAUACUGAUGGGCUUGAAUGUACUUGAGGUAGGCGGAAUGUGACAAGUAGCGGUGAAAUGCAUAGAUAUGUCACAGAACACCAAUUGCGAAGGCAGCUUACUAAGUUGAUUGACGCUGAGGCACGAAAGCGUGGGGAUCAAACAGGAUUAGAUACCCUAGUAGUC
This 431-nucleotide ribosomal RNA is filed under the name uncultured bacterium. RNAcentral describes it as "partial 16S ribosomal RNA". It matches the Rfam family "Bacterial small subunit ribosomal RNA", at positions 338 to 795 of the family's 1533-position model. The record is from RNAcentral.